AACGCUAGCUACAGGCUUAACACAUGCAAGUCGAGGGGCAGCAUUAGGUAGCAAUACUGAGAUGGCGACCGGCGCACGGGUGCGUAACGCGUAUCCAACUUUCCCGUUACUCUGGGAUAGCCUUCCGAAAGGGAGAUUAAUACCGGAUGGUGUUGAAAUUUCGCAUGUUAUUUCAACUAAAGAUUUAUCGGUAACGGAUAGGGAUGCGUGACAUUAGGUAGAUGGCGGGGUAACGGCCCACCAUGCCUACGAUGUCUAGGGGUUCUGAGAGGAAGGUCCCCCACACUGGAACUGAGACACGGUCCAGACUCCUACGGGAGGCAGCAGUGAGGAAUAUUGGUCAAUGGACGGAAGUCUGAACCAGCCAAGUAGCGUGAAGGAUGACUGCCCUAUGGGUUGUAAACUUCUUUUGCCGUAGAACAAAACAUGCCACGUGUGGCAUUUUGCGUGUAUACGUUGAAUAAGCAUCGGCUAACUCCGUGCCAGCAGCCGCGGUAAUACGGAGGAUGCGAGCGUUAUCCGGAUUUAUUGGGUUUAAAGGGAGCGUAGACGGGAUGUUAAGUCAGCUGUGAAAGUUUGGGGCUCAACCUUAAAAUUGCAGUUGAUACUGGCGUCCUUGAGUGCGGUUGAGGUAUGUGGAAUUCGUGGUGUAGCGGUGAAAUGCUUAGAUAUCACGAAGAACUCCGAUUG
Molecule: ribosomal RNA, 690 nt
Filed under: uncultured fecal bacterium CF26
Lineage: Bacteria; Pseudomonadati; Bacteroidota; Bacteroidia; Bacteroidales; Bacteroidaceae
Description: bacterial SSU rRNA
Rfam family: Bacterial small subunit ribosomal RNA
Source: RNAcentral